This 846-nucleotide ribosomal RNA is filed under the name Triticum aestivum (bread wheat). RNAcentral's name for it is "partial small subunit ribosomal RNA". Lineage: Eukaryota; Viridiplantae; Streptophyta; Magnoliopsida; Poales; Poaceae. The record is from RNAcentral.
AUGGCGGGAACCUUACGUGCGGCAGUGGCCGCCUCGCAGCCGCCGCCGUCCAGGGGCGCCACCGCCAGUGGCGGCAUCCCGUGGCUGCUCAGGAAGCGCGCCGGCAAGGUGCGCCACGGCCCGACCCUCGGCGGGCAAGAACCUGACGUCCACGAUGAGGUGGAACUGGAAGACGAGGGAGCCACCUUCGUCGUCUCUACUCCGUCCGUCGCGGACGCUGUUGGGGCGGGAGGAGGAACCCCUGAGCCGUCAGGGAAGCGCCGGGAGGCGCUCGCGCGGCUCCGGUCCGCGGUCCUGGCCGUGGUGGCGCGCGCGCGGCGCCGGCGCGGGCGCAGGCCGAUGGGGUCGAGCGUCACCGGCACCAUCUUCGGCCGGCGCCGGGGCCGCGUGCACCUGGCGCUGCAGACGGACCCGCGCGCGCCGCCGGCGCUCAUGGUGGAGCUGUCCGCGUACUCCACCGGUGCGCUCGUCAGGGAGAUGUCCUCCGGCCUCGUCCGCAUCGCCCUCGAGUGCGAGAAGACGCCUGCACACAACACAGGCGGCGAGAGGAGGCGGACGGCGCUGGUGGAGGAGCCGACGUGGCGAGCGUACUGCAACGGGCGCAAGUGCGGGUACGCCGUGCGGAGGGAGUGCGGCGCGGAGGAGUGGCGGCUGCUCCGAGCCGUCGAGCCCGUCUCCGUCGGCGCUGGCGUCGUCCCGGACGGCGGCGCCGGCGAGGGGGACCUGAUGUACAUGAGGGCCAGGUUCGAGAGGGUGGUGGGAUCCAGGGACUCCGAAGCGUUCUACAUGAUAAACCCCGACGGCAACGGUGGGCCCGAGCUCAGCAUCUACCUCCUCAGAGUCUGA